GCUCAGAGGGCACCAAGGGGCCCACCGCCCCCGUCGUCCUCUUCCUCCUCACAAGCCCCACUUCCAUCCAGCACUGAUGGUCUUAACCUAGUUGGCUCAUGAAACAUCUGCAAGAAAACUACCAAGCUCAGAGAGCACCGAAGACCCCCUCAUUUCAACCCCAAGCGAAAAUUAUUCUUUGCUUUGCUUCCAUUCUUUAGCAGAAAUAUGUGGUGCAAGACACACACACACACACCCAAAAAAAGCAGGCAACAUUAGCAGACCUCACCAAAGCCACUACAAUAAACCAGAGGCCACUUCAGUGGCAGAAGAAGGCAGUGUAUGCAGUCAAGGACAAACUGUUUCUACCCUGUAUCAACCAACAUUUGUUUCUCCUAAUAAGACGCUCGUGGCAAAACCUGCCAACUCCACUCGGACCUCUCAAGUCUAGUGACAAACAACUGAAUUCCAGGAACGCUCUUGAGUUUACAUUUUGAAUAGUUAUACAAAAACAACCCACCGUACCUGGUUUAAUCCUUUCGGGAUGUUCUACACACAAUUGCCUUCGUUUUCCCCUGAAAGAUCCAGGAGGACCCGCAGUUUCCAGAACGCCGGAAGAAUUUCACUCACUGGAGAAGCCGCAUCUGCAGGAUGGAACUUCAGGAUAUGGUGAUUCCAUGGAGAAGCCAUGACAGUUAAAAAAGAUUUGAAAAGCGAGGAGGUCUCAUCUUUAUCUGCAGAGAGGCUCCAUCAUCUGGUGCUUUUUUCAAGAGGCAACUGGACUUCCUGGUUUUUCCUUUUGAAGACAAUUCGCUUCUCAUCCAAGAAGCUCCUUCAGCUCCCGCCUUUCUCCUUCCGGCCAUCACUUUUAUUUCCCAACUUCUCAACUGAAAAAUCAGCCACCUAAUGACUCAGGGACCACCCGAGAGUCACUUUCCACCCAGGGGCUGAAACCCCACCCCACCCCACCCCCAGCCAAGGUAGUUGUGUGAUCACAAUUGGCCUGUAUCUACAGCCCCUUUGCACAGGAGUGCAACAGAAGCUGUUUAAACUGGUCUUUAUUUCUGAUGUCCAGUAAAAAAUGCCCUUUGGGUACAAUGGGUUCACUUAACAACUGUGGCAUUAACAACUGUGUUUACUGACCCCCCCUGCAGUAAAGGUUUUGAAAUCA
Thamnophis elegans (Western terrestrial garter snake) is the source of this 1150-nucleotide long non-coding RNA. RefSeq lists it as uncharacterized. Lineage: Eukaryota; Metazoa; Chordata; Lepidosauria; Squamata; Natricidae. The transcript is spliced from 3 exons. The record is from RefSeq and is a predicted model, not a curated record.